AUUAAGCCAGGCACGUGUAAGUACACACAGCCAGUACAGUAAAACUGCAAAUGGCUCAAUAAAUCUGUUAUGGUUCCUUUGAUCGCUUUGGAUAACUGUGGUAAUUCUAGAGCUAAUACAUGCUGACAAGCUCUGACCUCCUGGGAUGCAUUCAAUUAUCAGACCAAGACUAAUCCUGGCUCGUCCGCCCACUUUGGUGAUUCUAGAUAACCUCAGGGCGAUCAAACGUCCCUGUGACGGCGAUGAUACAUUUGGAUGUCUGCCCCAUCAACCUUCAAUGGUACUUUCUGUGCCUACCAUCAUCGCCACGGGUAAUGGGGAAUCAGGGUUCGAUUCUGGAGAGGAAGCCUGAGAAAUGGCUACCACAUCCAAGGAAGGCAGCAAGCAUGCAAAUUAGUCACUCCCAACUCGGGAGGGGUAGUGACGAAAAAUAACAAUAUCGGACUCUUUCGAGGCCCAGUAACUGGAAUGAGUACACUUUCAAUCCUUUAACGAUGAUCCAUCGGAGGGAAAGUCUGGUGCCAGCAGCCACUGUUAUUCCAGCUCAAAUAGCAUAUAUUAAAGUUGCUGCAGUUAAAAAGUGCGUAGUUGGAUGUUGGGAUCGAGCUAUCGCCCUACUAUCUUUCGGCAACCCCUUGAUGCUCUUGAAGGAGUGUCCUGGGGGCCCAAAGUAUUUACUUUGAGAAAAUUAGAGUCUUCAAAAGAGGCCGGUCGUCUGAAUACUUCACCUAGGGAUAAUAGAAUACGACUCUGGUUCUAUUUUGUUGGUAUUCGGAACUGGGGUCAUGAUUAAGAGGGAUGGCCGGGGGGGCAUUCAUAUUGUGCCGCUAGAGGUGAAAUGCUUGGCCGGCACAAGAUGAAGCAAAGUAGAAGCAUUUGCCAAGGAUGUUUUCAUUAAUCAAGAACAUAAGUCAGAGGUUCGAAGGCUACGUUGUACUUUCGACCAUAACGAUGGCUAAAAGAUGCCUACUAGCAAUCCGGAGGCGUUAUUCCCAUGACCCACCAAGCAGAUUCUGGUAAACCAAAGUAUUUGGGUACCGGGGAGAGUAUGGUUGCAAAGCUAACAUUUAAAGGAAUUGACAGAAGGGCACCACCAGGUGUGGAGCCUGCGGCUGAAUUUGAUUCAACAAAGGAAACCUCACCAGGCUCAGACACGGAAAGGAUUGACAGAUUGAUAGCUCGUUCUCGAUUCUGUGGGUGGCGGUAGAGGGCGUUCUUAGUUAGUGGAACGAUUUGUCUGGUUAAUUACGAUAACGAAUGAGACUCCUUCCUGUUAACUAGUUACGCGACCCCCAGCAGUUGGCGUUCACCUUCUUUGAAGGAUAAUUGGUGUUCAGCCACACGAGAUUGAGCAACAAACAGGUCUCCGAUGCCCUUAGAUGUCUGGAGCUGCAUGCACGCUACACUGAAUGGAUCUACUCUUUGCCGGCAGGUGCGGGUAACCCGCUGAAUCGAGUUUGUGAUAGGACUUGGAGAUCGUAAUUAUUUCCCAUGAACGAGGAAUUCCCAAUAAGUGCAGGUAAUACACUUGCAUUGAUUAAGACCCUUUCUUCUGUACACACCACCCAUUAUGAUAUGAUAUGGCAUUUAUAACGCGCCUAUACACAAGUGUUUCAAGGCGCGACGAGGCAAGGGAGGGGAACAGAGGGAAGACAGAGAC
RNAcentral lists this ribosomal RNA (1660 nucleotides) under Ambystoma mexicanum (axolotl). RNAcentral's name for it is "SSU rRNA". It matches the Rfam family "Eukaryotic small subunit ribosomal RNA". Lineage: Eukaryota; Metazoa; Chordata; Amphibia; Caudata; Ambystomatidae. The record is from RNAcentral.